RNAcentral lists this ribosomal RNA (464 nucleotides) under uncultured bacterium. RNAcentral's name for it is "partial 16S ribosomal RNA". It matches the Rfam family "Bacterial small subunit ribosomal RNA", at positions 339 to 795 of the family's 1533-position model. The record is from RNAcentral.
CUACGGGCUGCUCCAGUGGGGAAUAUUGGGCAAUGGGCGAAAGCCUGACCCAGCAACGCCGCGUGAAGGAAGAAGGUUUUCGGAUCGUAAAGCUCUGUCAAGUGGGAAAAAAAUCUUUUGAUCAAUAGUCAAAAGACUUGAUGGUACCACUGGAGGAAGCACCGGCUAACUCCGUGCCAGCAGCCGCGGUAAUACAGAGGUGGCGAGCGUUGUUCGGAUUUACUGGGCGUAAAGGGUGCGUAGGCGGGCUGUUAAGCUGGAUGUGAAAUCCCGGGGCUCAACCCCGGAACUGCAUCCGGAACUGGCAGACUAGAGACCAGGAGGGGAGAGGAGAAUUCAUGGUGUAGCGGUGAAAUGCGUUGAUAUCAUGAAGAAUACCGGUGGCGAAGGCGCCUCUCUGGAAUGGUUCUGACGCUGAUGCACGAAAGCGUGGGGAGCAAACAGGAUUAGAUACCCCAGUAGUC